UUUUGCAACGAAUCAAUAUUUUCAAGGAAGCAAUAAUUAUUUGAGUUCGAGAGCGUUACGUCAUGACGUGCGAUAUACAAGCGGUACGUAGGUACCGGACGCGUAUCCGACUCAGACUUCGAUUCGCGGGCCGUUACGCAACUGUUCCACAUCGGUUAUCGAGAGCGGGGCCAAGAGUGAACUUCUCGAUGUCAUCGGACGUCCAAUGGUUUAAGGUGUUCCGGCGGCGCAACAUUCAUUUUUGUCCGUAAUAGAUGUGCGUUUCUGCGUUACGGUCCGUGUGUCAGGAUGGCCAUGACCAGCUGUCGUGAUCACUUUUAAUGCUUGCACGUGCCGGUGUGCUGUGAUUGAAUGGACGUUCCUGUUUUGUGAAUUCACCGUUGUGCGUUCAGCCGCGUUGUUGUUGUCUAUCAUCCCGCAUCAAACCUGCGUUGAAACUAUUUGACUGGAGGGACUCGAGAUGACUCAUAGAGCACCUCAAAUCCCCAUGAUCACUGAUCACACUAAGACAUUACUGAAUACUCACCAAAACCCAAGCCUACAAAAACUGGUUGGCGCCCGUGUCCGCUUCUAAACGUGAAUGGAGUAAAGUUUAUUCAUAUCCAAGCCAUGUUUUACAACAGAAGACAAAAUAGAAGUUGAUUUGAGAAUUAUCCACACUUUUGGCAGCUAGCUUAUCUACAUAUUCUUGACAAAUCAGUCUACUACACACCCAUCCAGCUACGUAGCCUAUCGCACAAGCCUAUUCUCCAUUAGUAUAUUUUAAAUAUUCAUUGAAGAUAAAUCUCGCUGUAUUUAUUCAAGAACUGUAUUGCAUCACACUCAACUUCAAAAUGUCCACUUUUGGACGGUUUCAAUAAAGUAUUGCACAUGCACAUAUGGAUCGCCGAAUGAAAUUUUGUAGCGCCAGGUGUGACAUUUUUACCUCCUUUUGACCUUACUAUUGGAAACUCAUUUUCUACACAGUCUUGUGUUAGUCUUCUUGUUGAUAAAAUAACUAUUUUAUACUUUCCAUUUAAUUUGUUAUAUAACAUUUACAAAGCACUAAUAUUUUCUUUCCAACCUACUAUGAAUCGCGGUAUUUUACCAUUUUUAUUGUGGACUUUAACUUUUCCCAAUACCUUCAUUCAAAAAAUAUUUCAAUGAUCAGAAGUUUUAGUCAUAUCUUAUACUUUUGCCUCACUGUGUGUUCUACUGGUAAAAACAUCAAAUUCUAAAUUCAAAAUUCUAUAAAUGUUGCUGUAUGUAUAGCUGAACUUUUCAUUUCGUUCAAUGAAAUUAAAGUCACCAUACCAAAACUAACAGAAUGGUUUAAUGUUUGGGUUGCUAAACAAACACGCAUUGGUGAGAAUGGCGAUAGAUCCAUGGGAAUUUUGUUUAAACGAGGAGCUAACCUUGGCUUUUUGUUUUUGUCUAAAUUAUUAAAAAUCUGCUAGAUCUGACCAACUACAAGAAUCAUUAACAAAACUAAAAUUGUAUUUUUUUAGAUUAUUUUUCACUGAUUUAAUUAG
This 1511-nucleotide long non-coding RNA is filed under the name Acyrthosiphon pisum (pea aphid). RNAcentral's name for it is "uncharacterized LOC107882586, transcript variant X2". Lineage: Eukaryota; Metazoa; Arthropoda; Insecta; Hemiptera; Aphididae. The record is from RNAcentral.